Molecule: ribosomal RNA, 2909 nt
Filed under: human gut metagenome
Description: bacterial LSU rRNA
Rfam family: Bacterial large subunit ribosomal RNA
Source: RNAcentral
UUAAGUGAAUAAGGGCGCACGGUGGAUGCCUUGGCACUAGGAGCCGAUGAAGGACGGGACUAACACCGAUAUGCUUUGGGGAGCUGUAAGUAAGCUAUGAUCCAGAGAUUUCCGAAUGGGGGAACCCAAUAUCUUUUAUAGGAUAUUACUUUUCAGUGAAUACAUAGCUGAUUAGAGGUAGACGCAGAGAACUGAAACAUCUUAGUACCUGCAGGAAGAGAAAGAAAAUUCGAUUCCCUGAGUAGCGGCGAGCGAAACGGGAAGAGCCCAAACCAACAAGCUUGCUUGUUGGGGUUGUAGGACUCCAAUAUGGUAGUCUGUUAGUAUAGUUGAAGGAUUUGGAAAAUUCCGCUAAAGAGGGUGAAAGCCCCGUAGACGAAAUGCUGACAACACCUAGGAGGAUCCUGAGUACGGCGGAACACGAGAAAUUCCGUCGGAAUCCGCGGGGACCAUCCCGCAAGGCUAAAUACUCCCUAGUGACCGAUAGUGAACCAGUACCGUGAGGGAAAGGUGAAAAGCACCCCGGAAGGGGAGUGAAAUAGAUCCUGAAACCGUGUGCCUACAACAAGUCAAAGCUCGUUAAUGAGUGAUGGCGUGCCUUUUGUAGAAUGAACCGGCGAGUUACGAUUGCAUGCGAGGUUAAGUCGAAGAGACGGAGCCGCAGCGAAAGCGAGUCUGAAUAGGGCGAAUGAGUAUGUAGUCGUAGACCCGAAACCAUGUGAUCUACCCAUGUCCAGGUUGAAGGUGCGGUAAAACGCACUGGAGGACCGAACCCACGUACGUUGAAAAGUGCGGGGAUGAGGUGUGGGUAGCGGAGAAAUUCCAAACGAACUUGGAGAUAGCUGGUUCUCUCCGAAAUAGCUUUAGGGCUAGCCUCGGAAUUGAGAAUGAUGGAGGUAGAGCACUGUUUGGACUAGGGGCCCAUCUCGGGUUACCGAAUUCAGAUAAACUCCGAAUGCCAUUCAUUUAUAUCCGGGAGUCAGACUGCGAGUGAUAAGAUCCGUAGUCGAAAGGGAAACAGCCCAGACCACCAGCUAAGGUCCCAAAAUAUAUGUUAAGUGGAAAAGGAUGUGGGGUUGCACAGACAACUAGGAUGUUAGCUUAGAAGCAGCUAUUCAUUCAAAGAGUGCGUAAUAGCUCACUAGUCGAGUGACCCUGCGCCGAAAAUGUACCGGGGCUAAAACAUAUUACCGAAGCUGUGGAUACCUUUAUAGGUAUGGUAGGAGAGCGUUCUAUGUGCGAAGAAGGUGUACCGUGAGGAGUGCUGGAGCGCAUAGAAGUGAGAAUGCCGGUAUGAGUAGCGAAAGACAGGUGAGAAUCCUGUCCACCGUAUGACUAAGGUUUCCUGGGGAAGGCUCGUCCGCCCAGGGUUAGUCGGGACCUAAGCCGAGGCCGAUAGGCGUAGGCGAUGGACAACAGGUUGAUAUUCCUGUACCAGUUGUUUUUGUUUGAGCAAUGGAGGGACGCAGUAGGCUAAGGAAUGCAUGCGAUUGGAAGUGCAUGUCCAAGCAAUGAGUCUUGAGUAGAGUUAAAUGCUUUACUCUCUAAGGACAAGUUGUGACGGGGAGCGAAAUAAUAGUAGCGAAGUUCCUGAUGUCACACUGCCAAGAAAAGCUUCUAGUGAGAAAACAACUGCCCGUACCGUAAACCGACACAGGUAGUCGAGGAGAGUAUCCUAAGGUGAGCGAGCGAACUCUCGUUAAGGAACUCGGCAAAAUGACCCCGUAACUUCGGGAGAAGGGGUGCUGACUUCGGUCAGCCGCAGUGAAUAGGCCCAAGCGACUGUUUAUCAAAAACACAGGUCUCUGCAAAAUCGUAAGAUGAAGUAUAGGGGCUGACGCCUGCCCGGUGCUGGAAGGUUAAGAGGAUGGGUUAGCUUCGGCGAAGCUCAGAAUUGAAGCCCCAGUAAACGGCGGCCGUAACUAUAACGGUCCUAAGGUAGCGAAAUUCCUUGUCGGGUAAGUUCCGACCCGCACGAAAGGCGUAACGAUUUGGGCACUGUCUCAACGAGAGACUCGGUGAAAUUUUAGUACCUGUGAAGAUGCAGGUUACCCGCGACAGGACGGAAAGACCCCAUGGAGCUUUACUGUAGUUUGAUAUUGAGUGUUUGUACCACAUGUACAGGAUAGGUAGGAGCCGAUGAGACCGGAACGCUAGUUUCGGAGGAGGCGCUGGUGGGAUACUACCCUUGUGUUAUGAACCCUCUAACCCGCACCACUAAUCGUGGUGGGAGACAGUGUCAGAUGGGCAGUUUGACUGGGGCGGUCGCCUCCUAAAAGGUAACGGAGGCGCCCAAAGGUUCCCUCAGAAUGGUUGGAAAUCAUUCGAAGAGUGUAAAGGCAGAAGGGAGCUUGACUGCGAGACCUACAAGUCGAGCAGGGACGAAAGUCGGGCUUAGUGAUCCGGUGGUUCCGCAUGGAAGGGCCAUCGCUCAACGGAUAAAAGCUACCCUGGGGAUAACAGGCUUAUCUCCCCCAAGAGUCCACAUCGACGGGGAGGUUUGGCACCUCGAUGUCGGCUCGUCGCAUCCUGGGGCUGAAGUAGGUCCCAAGGGUUGGGCUGUUCGCCCAUUAAAGCGGCACGCGAGCUGGGUUCAGAACGUCGUGAGACAGUUCGGUCCCUAUCCGUCGCGGGCGUAGGAAAUUUGAGAGGAGCUGUCCUUAGUACGAGAGGACCGGGAUGGACUGACCUAUGGUGUACCAGUUGUUUCGCCAGAAGCAUUGCUGGGUAGCUAAGUCGGGAAGGGAUAAACGCUGAAAGCAUCUAAGUGUGAAGCCCACCUCAAGAUGAGAUUUCCCAUUUCUUUAAGAAAGUAAGACCCCUGAGAGAUGAUCAGGUAGAUAGGUUGGAAGUGGAAGGCUAGUGAUAGUUGGAGCGGACCAAUACUAAUCGGUCGAGGACUUAACCAA